GGGGAAUAUUGCACAAUGGGGGGAACCCUGAUGCAGCGACGCCGCGUGGAGGAAGAAGGUCUUCGGAUUGUAAACUCCUGUCAUUCGGGACGAUAAUGACGGUACCGAAUGAGGAAGCCACGGCUAACUACGUGCCAGCAGCCGCGGUAAUACGUAGGUGGCGAGCGUUGUCCGGAAUUACUGGGCGUAAAGGGCGCGUAGGCGGUCUACUAAGUCGGAUGUGAAAGCCCGCGGCUUAACCGCGGAAUGGCAUUCGAAACUGGAGGGCUUGAGUGUCGGAGAGGUAAGUGGAAUUCCUAGUGUAGCGGUGAAAUGCGUAGAUAUUGGGAGGAACACCAGUGGCGAAGGCGACUACCUGGACGAUAACUGACGCUGAGGCACGAAAGCUAGGGGAGCAAACA
RNAcentral lists this ribosomal RNA (401 nucleotides) under uncultured Gracilibacteraceae bacterium. Its description in RNAcentral is "bacterial SSU rRNA". It matches the Rfam family "Bacterial small subunit ribosomal RNA", at positions 356 to 774 of the family's 1533-position model. The record is from RNAcentral. Lineage: Bacteria; Bacillati; Bacillota; Clostridia; Eubacteriales; Gracilibacteraceae.